GACGAACGCUGGCGGCGUGCUUAACACAUGCAAGUCGAACGAAGUGGCGAACGGGUGAGUAACGCGUAAUAAACCUGCCCUUCAGAGGGGGACAACAGUUGGAAACGACUGCUAAUACCGCAUACUGAAGGAGGGGAUUGCGUCUGAGUAGCGAGUUGGAGGGGGAACGGCCCCCCAAGGCGAGGAACAGUAGCCGGUCGGAGAGGAGUAACGGCCACAUUGGUACUGAGACACGGCCCAGACUCCUACGGGAGGCAGCAGUGGGGAAUCUUCCGCAAUGGACGAAAGUCUGACGGAGCAACGCCGCGUGAUUGAUGACGGCCUUCGGGUUGUAAAGCUCUGUUAAUCGGGACGCGGUACCGGAAUAGAAAGCCACGGCUAACUACGUGCCAGCAGCCGCGGUAAUUC
RNAcentral lists this ribosomal RNA (408 nucleotides) under uncultured bacterium. RNAcentral describes it as "partial 16S ribosomal RNA". It matches the Rfam family "Bacterial small subunit ribosomal RNA", at positions 28 to 526 of the family's 1533-position model. The record is from RNAcentral.